Molecule: transfer RNA, 109 nt
Filed under: Candidatus Woesearchaeota archaeon
Lineage: Archaea; Nanobdellati; Candidatus Woesearchaeota
Description: tRNA-Asp
Source: RNAcentral
GCCCUGGUAGUGUAGUUCGGCCUAGCACGGAGCCCUGUCAAGGCUUCGACCCGGGUUCAAAGUGGUGUGGAAUGGAUAAUUACAUGUCAGGAAUGUCCCGGCCAGGGCG